This 253-nucleotide ribosomal RNA is filed under the name uncultured bacterium. RNAcentral's name for it is "partial 16S ribosomal RNA". It matches the Rfam family "Bacterial small subunit ribosomal RNA", at positions 524 to 776 of the family's 1533-position model. The record is from RNAcentral.
UACGGAGGGUGCAAGCGUUAUCCGGAUUUACUGGGUUUAAAGGGUGCGUAGGUGGGCAAGUAAGUCAGUGGUGAAAUCUUCGAGCUUAACUCGGAAACUGCCAUUGAUACUAUUUAUCUUGAAUACUUUGGAGGUAAGCGGAAUAUGUCAUGUAGCGGUGAAAUGCUUAGAUAUGACAUAGAACACCAAUUGCGAAGGCAGCUUACUACACAGUUAUUGACACUGAGGCACGAAAGCGUGGGGAUCAAACAGG